RNAcentral lists this ribosomal RNA (1471 nucleotides) under Escherichia coli. RNAcentral's name for it is "partial 23S ribosomal RNA". It matches the Rfam family "Bacterial large subunit ribosomal RNA", at positions 236 to 1746 of the family's 2925-position model. Lineage: Bacteria; Pseudomonadati; Pseudomonadota; Gammaproteobacteria; Enterobacterales; Enterobacteriaceae. The record is from RNAcentral.
UCCCCCAGUAGCGGCGAGCGAACGGGGAGCAGCCCAGAGCCUGAAUCAGUGUGUGUGUUAGUGGAAGCGUCUGGAAAGGCGCGCGAUACAGGGUGACAGCCCCGUACACAAAAAUGCACAUACUGUGAGCUCGAUGAGUAGGGCGGGACACGUGGUAUCCUGUCUGAAUAUGGGGGGACCAUCCUCCAAGGCUAAAUACUCCUGACUGACCGAUAGUGAACCAGUACCGUGAGGGAAAGGCGAAAAGAACCCCGGCGAGGGGAGUGAAAAAGAACCUGAAACCGUGUACGUACAAGCAGUGGGAGCACAGAGCAAUCUGUGUGACUGCGUACCUUUUGUAUAAUGGGUCAGCGACUUAUAUUCUGUAGCAAGGUUAACCGAAUAGGGGAGCCGAAGGGAAACCGAGUCUUAACUGGGCGUUAAGUUGCAGGGUAUAGACCCGAAACCCGGUGAUCUAGCCAUGGGCAGGUUGAAGGUUGGGUAACACUAACUGGAGGACCGAACCGACUAAUGUUGAAAAAUUAGCGGAUGACUUGUGGCUGGGGGUGAAAGGCCAAUCAAACCGGGAGAUAGCUGGUUCUCCCCGAAAGCUAUUUAGGUAGCGCCUCGUGAAUUCAUCUCCGGGGGUAGAGCACUGUUUCGGCAAGGGGGUCAUCCCGACUUACCAACCCGAUGCAAACUGCGAAUACCGGAGAAUGUUAUCACGGGAGACACACGGCGGGUGCUAACGUCCGUCGUGAAGAGGGAAACAACCCAGACCGCCAGCUAAGGUCCCAAAGUCAUGGUUAAGUGGGAAACGAUGUGGGAAGGCCCAGACAGCCAGGAUGUUGGCUUAGAAGCAGCCAUCAUUUAAAGAAAGCGUAAUAGCUCACUGGUCGAGUCGGCCUGCGCGGAAGAUGUAACGGGGCUAAACCAUGCACCGAAGCUGCGGCAGCGACGCUUAUGCGUUGUUGGGUAGGGGAGCGUUCUGUAAGCCUGUGAAGGUGUACUGUGAGGUAUGCUGGAGGUAUCAGAAGUGCGAAUGCUGACAUAAGUAACGAUAAAGCGGGUGAAAAGCCCGCUCGCCGGAAGACCAAGGGUUCCUGUCCAACGUUAAUCGGGGCAGGGUGAGUCGACCCCUAAGGCGAGGCCGAAAGGCGUAGUCGAUGGGAAACAGGUUAAUAUUCCUGUACUUGGUGUUACUGCGAAGGGGGGACGGAGAAGGCUAUGUUGGCCGGGCGACGGUUGUCCCGGUUUAAGCGUGUAGGCUGGUUUUCCAGGCAAAUCCGGAAAAUCAAGGCUGAGGCGUGAUGACGAGGCACUACGGUGCUGAAGCAACAAAUGCCCUGCUUCCAGGAAAAGCCUCUAAGCAUCAGGUAACAUCAAAUCGUACCCCAAACCGACACAGGUGGUCAGGUAGAGAAUACCAAGGCGCUUGAGAGAACUCGGGUGAAGGAACUAGGCAAAAUGGUGCCGUAACUUCGGGAGAAGG